This 253-nucleotide ribosomal RNA is filed under the name uncultured bacterium. RNAcentral's name for it is "partial 16S ribosomal RNA". It matches the Rfam family "Bacterial small subunit ribosomal RNA", at positions 524 to 776 of the family's 1533-position model. The record is from RNAcentral.
UACGUAGGGUGCAAGCGUUAAUCGGAAUUACUGGGCGUAAAGCGUGCGCAGGCGGUUAUGCAAGACAGAUGUGAAAUCCCCGGGCUCAACCUGGGAACUGCAUUUGUGACUGCAUGGCUAGAGUACGGUAGAGGGGGAUGGAAUUCCGCGUGUAGCAGUGAGAUGCGUAGAUAUGCGGAGGAACACCGAUGGCGAAGGCAAUCCCCUGGGCCAAUACUGACGCUCAUGCACGAAAGCGUGGGGAGCAAACAGG